GACGAACGCUGGCGGCGUGCUUAACACAUGCAAGUGGAGCGACGAACCGGGGCUUGCCCCGGGGCAGAGCCGCGAACGGGUGAGUAACACGUGGGUAACCCACCCGAUGACCGGGACAACCCGAGGAAACUCGGGCUAAUACCGGAUGUGCUCCUUGACCUCGAGGUCAAGGCGUAAAGAUAGCUUCGGCCUUCGCAUCGGGACGGGCCCGCGGCCCAUUAGCUUGUUGGUGGGGUAAAGGCCUACCAAGGCGACGANGGGUAGCUGGUCUGAGAGGACGAUCAGCCACACUGGGACUGAGACACGGCCCAGACUCCUACGGGAGGCAGCAGUGGGGAAUCUUGCGCAAUGCGCGAAAGCGUGACGCAGCAACGCCGCGUGGGGAAGACGCC
This 392-nucleotide ribosomal RNA is filed under the name uncultured bacterium. RNAcentral describes it as "bacterial SSU rRNA". It matches the Rfam family "Bacterial small subunit ribosomal RNA", at positions 28 to 415 of the family's 1533-position model. The record is from RNAcentral.